UACGAAGGGGGCUAGCGUUGUUCGGAAUCACUGGGCGUAAAGCGCACGCAGGCGGAUUGAUAAGUCAGGGGUGAAAUCCCGGAGCUCAACUUCGGAAUUGCCUUUGAUACUGUCUGUCUUGAGUCCGGGAGAGGUGAGUGGAAUUCCUAGUGUAGAGGUGAAAUUCGUAGAUAUUAGGAAGAACGCCAGUGGCGAAGGCGGCUCACUGGCCCGGUACUGACGCUCAUGUGCGAAAGCGUGGGGAGCAAACAGG
This 253-nucleotide ribosomal RNA is filed under the name uncultured bacterium. RNAcentral's name for it is "partial 16S ribosomal RNA". It matches the Rfam family "Bacterial small subunit ribosomal RNA", at positions 524 to 776 of the family's 1533-position model. The record is from RNAcentral.